GGAACAUCUAACGAGUCUGUGGUGGGUAUGAAGUUGAUGGAAACUGGAAGCCUUGUACUUCAUGAUAGCAAAAAUAAGACUGUUUGGCAAUCUUUUGAUCAUCCAACAGACACACUGCUUCCUGGGCAGAAAUUGGUGCCAGGCAAGAAGCUGGUGGCUAGUGUUUCAGAAACCAAUGUGUCUGAGGGAGAUUACUAUUUUUCUUUAACACC
RNAcentral lists this unclassified non-coding RNA (212 nucleotides) under Hevea brasiliensis (rubber tree). Lineage: Eukaryota; Viridiplantae; Streptophyta; Magnoliopsida; Malpighiales; Euphorbiaceae. The record is from RNAcentral.